UAUAAUUUUUUCGCAUAUGCCAUGAUUAGAAUUUUUAAAAACGAAUAUAAACUGUUCAAUACAUGAACAAAUAUUAUAACGGGUCAAAAAUAGAUUAAAGAAAACUUUCGACUGAGUAACGGGUCAUAAUUUAAAUAUUUAUAUUCAAUUUCAUACAUAUUAUUUUGAAAAUUUAUAAUCUUAUAUACUACAAUAAUUAAUAACAUAUUAGAUAUUUUUAUGUGUAUGAUGUGAUUCAAUUUUUAAUACAAGCUGGAAAAUCCUAGAAUUGACGGGUUUAGAUCGAUAUUAAUACAAGAUGAUAUAUU
This 308-nucleotide small RNA is filed under the name Arabidopsis thaliana (thale cress). RNAcentral describes it as "ATSL259730". The record is from RNAcentral. Lineage: Eukaryota; Viridiplantae; Streptophyta; Magnoliopsida; Brassicales; Brassicaceae.